UAAUAUUCAUCUAUCAAAUGUACAAAUAUUCUCAAGAUUCAGAAGUUGACGCCAAGUCAGUAUUGCGAACAAAUCCACAAUAAAAGAACUGAUCAAUCUUAGUGCCUGAAAUCGACCAUUACAAGUAAAAGAAUAUUCCAUUCAUGAAGAAACUUCUGGAUCUACAAAAUGGUGGCCCCCCAUUGUAACUUCAUUUUAAUUUUUGAAAGGCACACCAAAACUGACUAUGGAAAUAACACAGCAUAUUUGCAUGCACGUUCGAAUUUUUGUCUUUACAUCAAGUAAUAUGAUACUUCUAACUUGCACCAAUUUCUCUGGGAUCA
RNAcentral lists this unclassified non-coding RNA (323 nucleotides) under Hevea brasiliensis (rubber tree). The record is from RNAcentral. Lineage: Eukaryota; Viridiplantae; Streptophyta; Magnoliopsida; Malpighiales; Euphorbiaceae.